This 60-nucleotide microRNA precursor is filed under the name Homo sapiens (human). RNAcentral describes it as "Hsa-Mir-651_pre stem-loop". The record is from RNAcentral. Lineage: Eukaryota; Metazoa; Chordata; Mammalia; Primates; Hominidae.
UUUAGGAUAAGCUUGACUUUUGUUCAAAUAAAAAUGCAAAAGGAAAGUGUAUCCUAAAAG